Molecule: ribosomal RNA, 547 nt
Filed under: uncultured bacterium
Lineage: Bacteria
Description: bacterial SSU rRNA
Rfam family: Bacterial small subunit ribosomal RNA
Source: RNAcentral
UGGGGAAUCUUGCGCAAUGGGCGAAAGCCUGACGCAGCAACGCCGCGUGCGGGAAGAAGGCUUUCGGGCUGUAAACCGCUUUCAGUGGGAACGAAACUGACGGUACCCACAGAAGAAGGAGCGGCCAACUAUGUGCCAGCAGCCGCGGUGAUACAUAGGCUCCAAGCGUUGUCCGGAUUUAUUGGGCGUAAAGAGCUCGUAGGCGGUUGAGUAAGUCGGGUGUGAAAACUUUGGGCUUAACCCAAAGAUGCCACUCGAUACUGUUUAACUAGAGUUCGGUAGGGGAGCGGGGAAUUCCUUGUGUAGCGGUGAAAUGCGCAGAUAUAAGGAGGAACACCGGUGGCGAAGGCGCCGCUCUGGGCCGAUACUGACGCUGAGGAGCGAAAGCGUGGGGAGCAAACAGGAUUAGAUACCCUGGUAGUCCACGCGGUAAACGGUGGUCACUAGGUGUGGGUCUCUAACCAAUGAGAUCCGCGCCGUCGCUAACGCAUUAAGUGACCCGCCUGGGGAGUACGGUCGCAAGACUAAAACUCAAAGGAAUUGACGG